This 228-nucleotide long non-coding RNA is filed under the name Brassica rapa (field mustard). RNAcentral's name for it is "long non-coding RNA (BRAP_LNC003754)". Lineage: Eukaryota; Viridiplantae; Streptophyta; Magnoliopsida; Brassicales; Brassicaceae. The record is from RNAcentral.
AAAGGUACGGUUUUAAAAAGUUUACCCAUUUAUACAAUAAGUACCAGUAUUUUUUUUUGGUAAAAAAUAAGUACCAGUAUUGACAAAGAAAAAGAACCCAAAUAGCACUUAGAAAAAUUUAACCGAAUGAGAAUGUUUAGUUCAUAUCUACAAACAUCAAUAUCGAAUUUAUUGAGACCUAGCAGCAGGAAUUAGCAAUGGCUAGUCCAGAUAGUGUAUGGAUCAAAG